UUCAUAUCUCGGCUAAAUGAAGUCCGAUUUGGGUGAGAUUCGCCUUUCUGUACACGCGAGAAUCUAUAGAAUAGAUUGGAAUAACAAAUUCUUGAUUUCAGAAACGAUACGAUUUUCGACCCAAUUCUGAUGUGUCACUCCUUGCCAUUUUUGUCGAUUUUGGUCAAAACUAAGAAUUGAAAUACUGGAAUUACAAUUGAUGGUCCUGGCUCUGGCGAGUUUAAUAAGAGGAAUAUGCGUACGGCUGUUUUCCUCCGUCUCUUAAUGGAAAUGUAUUAAAAUCUUGAUUGCCAUCUCACAUUUCACAUCCACUCUAAACUCCAAGCUGAUGGCAACAUUUCCAACUGUUUUUGCAGCAAAAACUUCACGGCCAACAGAGCGCGCCAUGUACGCAUUACAAGAGAGCGAGAGAGCGACAGCGAGAGAGUUAUAAAUAAACCGAUGGGGAAUAUGUAUUUCUAUGCGUACCUAUAUAUUAUUUGUGUGUGUGUGUGUGUGUGUGGGACGCAGCUUCUUAUGUUGUCGCUGUUUCCCUCACACCCACAAUGUGCAUAAUUGCAACUGAGACGCAUACAUUCAUACUUGUUGUUUUUGCCAUGGCAUUGAAAUUUUUCUAUGAAGUUGAUGCGGGCGCAGAAAGUUCAUCAACCUUUGACUUGGCGGCUAAGCGAUGCCUAAGCAGAAAAGCUCAUUCUCAGAUUGGUAAGUGUGUCUGGAAUAUUAUUUUGUAUACUUGCAUGACAUACAUACACACAUACAUAUAAACAUGCACACUUAUGCUAAAGAGAAUUUCUGAUGCGCAACAAGCUUUGAUGCAAGCCUGAGCCGCCCAUAAACUGGUUUUUAAUGUAGAUCAGCAAAAGAUAGUGAAGCAAAUAAAUUUGGGCGUAAGCACUU
Non-coding RNA from Drosophila virilis, 897 nucleotides. The record is from RefSeq and is a predicted model, not a curated record. Lineage: Eukaryota; Metazoa; Arthropoda; Insecta; Diptera; Drosophilidae.